RNAcentral lists this ribosomal RNA (495 nucleotides) under Shigella sonnei. RNAcentral's name for it is "bacterial SSU rRNA". It matches the Rfam family "Bacterial small subunit ribosomal RNA", at positions 292 to 779 of the family's 1533-position model. Lineage: Bacteria; Pseudomonadati; Pseudomonadota; Gammaproteobacteria; Enterobacterales; Enterobacteriaceae. The record is from RNAcentral.
CUGAGAGGAUGACCAGCCACACUGGAACUGAGACACGGUCCAGACUCCUACGGGAGGCAGCAGUGGGGAAUAUUGCACAAUGGGCGCAAGCCUGAUGCAGCCAUGCCGCGUGUAUGAAGAAGGCCUUCGGGUUGUAAAGUACUUUCAGCGGGGAGGAAGGGAGUAAAGUUAAUACCUUUGCUCAUUGACGUUACCCGCAGAAGAAGCACCGGCUAACUCCGUGCCAGCAGCCGCGGUAAUACGGAGGGUGCAAGCGUUAAUCGGAAUUACUGGGCGUAAAGCGCACGCAGGCGGUUUGUUAAGUCAGAUGUGAAAUCCCCGGGCUCAACCUGGGAACUGCAUCUGAUACUGGCAAGCUUGAGUCUCGUAGAGGGGGGUAGAAUUCCAGGUGUAGCGGUGAAAUGCGUAGAGAUCUGGAGGAAUAUCGGUGGCGAAGGCGGCCCCCUGGACGAAGACUGACGCUCAGGUGCGAAAGCGUGGGGAGCAAACAGGAUU